Molecule: ribosomal RNA, 253 nt
Filed under: uncultured bacterium
Lineage: Bacteria
Description: partial 16S ribosomal RNA
Rfam family: Bacterial small subunit ribosomal RNA
Source: RNAcentral
UACGAAGGGGGCUAGCGUUGUUCGGAUUUACUGGGCGUAAAGCGCACGUAGGCGGAUUGUUAAGUCAGGGGUGAAAUCCUGGAGCUCAACUCCAGAACUGCCUUUGAUACUGGCAAUCUUGAGUCCGGAAGGGGUGAGUGGAACUCCUAGUGUAGAGGUGGAAUUCGUAGAUAUUAGGAAGAACACCAGUGGCGAAGGCGGCUCACUGGUCCGGUACUGACGCUGAGGUGCGAAAGCGUGGGGAGCAAACAGG